RNAcentral lists this transfer RNA (75 nucleotides) under Bos taurus (domestic cattle). It matches the Rfam family "tRNA". From Rfam's summary of the family: Transfer RNA (tRNA) molecules are approximately 80 nucleotides in length. Their secondary structure includes four short double-helical elements and three loops (D, anti-codon, and T loops). The record is from Rfam by way of RNAcentral. RNAcentral also lists the same sequence under 3 other names. Lineage: Eukaryota; Metazoa; Chordata; Mammalia; Artiodactyla; Bovidae.
UCCCUGGUGGUCAAGAGUGGUCAAGACUCUGAGCUUCCAAUGCAGGGGGUCCAGGUUCGAUCCCUGGUCAGGUAA